AUCGCUUCUUGGCCUUUUGGCUAAGAUGGAGUGUAGUAUCUGUUCUUAUCAGUUUAAUAUGGGGAUUUAUUAAUCCCCCUUUUUCCCCUCUGCAGCUCUGAACGACCUGAUGGUUCCUUUGUUCUGUUGAUGACCAGAAGGUUCCUCGGUGAAUUUAAUUGUUGAUGACUAAGGGCAGGUUUU
This is a small nuclear RNA of Eublepharis macularius, 183 nucleotides long. RefSeq annotates it as U2 spliceosomal RNA. Lineage: Eukaryota; Metazoa; Chordata; Lepidosauria; Squamata; Eublepharidae. The transcript has a single exon. The record is from RefSeq and is a predicted model, not a curated record.